GAUGAACGCUAGCUACAGGCUUAACACAUGCAAGUCGAGGGGAAACGGCAUCGAAAGCUUGCUUUUGAUGGGCGUCGACCGGCGCACGGGUGAGUAACGCGUAUCCAACCUGCCCAUCACUUGGGAAUAACCUUGCGAAAGUAAGACUAAUGCCCAAUGACAUCCCACGAAGGCAUCCGAAUGGGAUUAAAGAUUUAUCGGUGAUGGAUGGGGAUGCGUCUGAUUAGCUUGUUGGCGGGGUGACGGCCCACCAAGGCAACGAUCAGUAGGGGUUCUGAGAGGAAGGUCCCCCACAAUGGAACCGCGACACGGUCCAAAAUCCUACGGGAGGCAGCAGUGAGGAAUAUUUGUCAAUGGGCGAGAGCCUGAACCAGCCAAGUAGCGUGCAGGAUGACGGCCCUAUGGGUUGUAAACUGCUUUUAUAAGGGAAUAAAGUGGGUCACGUGUGACUUUUUGCAUGUACCUUAUGAAUAAGGACCGGCUAAUUCCGUG
RNAcentral lists this ribosomal RNA (492 nucleotides) under uncultured bacterium. RNAcentral describes it as "partial 16S ribosomal RNA". It matches the Rfam family "Bacterial small subunit ribosomal RNA", at positions 28 to 507 of the family's 1533-position model. The record is from RNAcentral.